This 501-nucleotide ribosomal RNA is filed under the name uncultured bacterium. RNAcentral describes it as "partial 16S ribosomal RNA". It matches the Rfam family "Bacterial small subunit ribosomal RNA", at positions 30 to 523 of the family's 1533-position model. The record is from RNAcentral.
AUUGAACGCUGGCGGCAGGCUUAACACAUGCAAGUCGAGCGGGGGAAGGUAGCUUGCUACCGGACCUAGCGGCGGACGGGUGAGUAAUGCUUAGGAAUCUGCCUAUUAGUGGGGGACAACAUCUCGAAAGGGAUGCUAAUACCGCGUACGUCCUACGGGAGAAAGCAGGGGAUCUUCGGACCUUGCGCUAAUAGAUGAGCCUAAGUCGGAUUAGCUAGUUGGUGGGGGAAAGGCCUACCCAGGCGACGAUCUGUAGCGGGUCUGAGAGGAUGAUCCGCCACACUGGGACUGAGACCCGGCCCAGACUCCUACGGGGGGCAGCAGUGGGGAAUAUUGGACAAUGGGGGGAACCCUGAUCCAGCCAUGCCGCGUGUGUGAAGAAGGCCUUAUGGUUGUAAAGCACUUUAAGCGAGGAGGAGGCUACCGAGAUUAAUACUUUUGGAUAGUGGACGUUACUCGCAGAAUAAGCACCGGCUAACUCUGUGCCAGCCGCCGCCGUAA